This 523-nucleotide long non-coding RNA is filed under the name Elaeis guineensis (African oil palm). RNAcentral describes it as "long non-coding RNA (EGUI_LNC073953)". The record is from RNAcentral. Lineage: Eukaryota; Viridiplantae; Streptophyta; Magnoliopsida; Arecales; Arecaceae.
CAUGUUGGCAACCUCGGCCUCCGCCCUCCUCACCAUCUCCUCCAGGUCGGCCUUCUGUUCCGCCGAGGUCUGUCUCUCUCUCUCAAGCGCCUCUCGGAGACCGGCCACCUCGAGGGCCAUUUCCUUAAGGCGGGCAGCCUCGGCCUGCCGACCUUCCACCGUCUUGUUUGUCGUCUCGAUGUUGGCGAGAAGUUGGUGCCCGAGCUACCAGGACGAUCGGAGGGUCAGAAUGGGGGCUGAGAAGUUAAUUAAAUGAAGAAGCGAAAGGAAGAAAGGAAGACGAAUCUGCUUACCUCGAGGAAGGCCCCCAGUGAGUCCCAGACUCGUUGUGCAGGAUCGACGCAGACGAUCCUCUGGACGACUUCGGGCAGUGAGCACCCAUCUACCAGCCUUUUUAUUAGGUCCCUGUCACUAAAGGGAUCAUCUCCCUGCUCCUCUUCAGAGCCGCGGGAUUCUUCAGUGGCAGCCCGGCGACUGCCGACCCUACGGGCCAAGGUCUUCUUCCUCUUCCUCCUCUCACCCC